UACGUAGGGGGCGAGCGUUAUCCGGAAUUAUUGGGCGUAAAGAGUGCGUAGGUGGUUUGGUAAGCGUGAGGUGAAAGGCAAUAGCUUAACUAUUGUAAGCCUUGCGAACUGCCAGACUUGAGUGCAGGAGAGGAAAGUGGAAUUCCUAGUGUAGCGGUGAAAUGCGUAGAUAUUAGGAGGAACACCAGUGGCGAAGGCGACUUUCUGGACUGUAACUGACACUGAGGCACGAAAGCGUGGGGAGCAAACAGG
Molecule: ribosomal RNA, 252 nt
Filed under: uncultured bacterium
Lineage: Bacteria
Description: partial 16S ribosomal RNA
Rfam family: Bacterial small subunit ribosomal RNA
Source: RNAcentral